AUAAAAAAAUAGUUUAAAUGCUUAAAAUACUAUGAAUAUUAAAAUAAUAAAAAUUAACAAAAAUACAAACGAAAACUUUUGCCUGAUUGCGGGCAGUGCAGUUGAAUACUAUUCACAGACUAUUGUAGCGAUUGAUUACAUUGCAAAGAGAUUUCUUUUGCAUUUUUUAUCCGUAUGCCAUUCUCCAAUUUUCAAGCAUAUAUGUCCAAACUUGUAGUAAUUCAAUGGUAGGUCUAUCAUUUAGGAGGUGUUCACUAUGCUUUCUCUUUUGUAUUUCCAAGGCUUUUGUUAGAAGACUUGCGAAUCUUUAGUCAGUGAUUUUACUGUCUUAGCGUCCUGCCAUGAUAUCUUUAGGUUGUUGUCAAAUGCUUCGGUUGCCAAAGUUGGAGAGUUUUCCUUUGGAUAUGUUUUUUUUUAUGUUCGGUCAGUCUUUUUUCCAGGGUUCUGAUGGUGACUCCAAUAUAAACAGCUUGUUUCUGGGUGUUAAUGUAUGUGACAGGUAUUCUAUAGAUACUUUUAUUUUCCUAUUCCUGCCUCUUAUCCUUUUCAUUUUUAAGUUUAUUGAAGAUAGUGGGAUCCCAAUAAUAGGCAAGUUUUUUAUCA
Molecule: long non-coding RNA, 603 nt
Filed under: Androctonus crassicauda
Lineage: Eukaryota; Metazoa; Arthropoda; Arachnida; Scorpiones; Buthidae
Source: RNAcentral